RNAcentral lists this long non-coding RNA (333 nucleotides) under Cyanistes caeruleus (blue tit). Its description in RNAcentral is "lncRNA (ENSCCEG00000015756.1)". Lineage: Eukaryota; Metazoa; Chordata; Aves; Passeriformes; Paridae. The record is from RNAcentral.
UCCACAAAUGAUGUGCAUGACUGGCCCCAAAGUCUAAGUGCUUUUAAAUUGUUCAUAAACUGUGUGGCAAUGCAGCAGUGAGCAGAGAUGUUACCUUAGGAGGAGCUGACUAAAGAAACCUCCACAGAGUGGACACGUGAAGUCUUUUCAUGCCAGGAUUUUAUGUUGUGAAAGUGACUUUUUGACAUCUGUGAGCAAGCUGGAGGUGUUUAAGAAACAAAGAAUGAGUCCAUGUUUCAGAAUUUGGCUGCACUGAGAUCAAGAACAGUUUUGUCAGCUGUUUCACCUCAGAAAAUAUUUCACAUCCCUUAUCUAUCCAAAACAAGUUCGUGA